CUGCCUGGCUCCCUGUAUGCC
This 21-nucleotide microRNA is filed under the name Picea abies (Norway spruce). RNAcentral's name for it is "pab-miR160c". Its record names the gene pab-miR160c. The record is from miRBase by way of RNAcentral. Lineage: Eukaryota; Viridiplantae; Streptophyta; Pinopsida; Pinales; Pinaceae.